AUUGAACGCUGGCGGCAUGCCUUACACAUGCAAGUCGAACGGUAACAGGUCUUCGGAUGCUGACGAGUGGCGAACGGGUGAGUAAUACAUCGGAACGUGCCUAGUAGUGGGGGAUAACUACUAGAAAGAGUGGCUAAUACCGCAUGAGAUCAAAGGAUGAAAGCAGGGGAUCGCAAGACCUUGCGCUACUAGAGCGGCCGAUGGCAGAUUAGGUAGUUGGUGGGAUAAAAGCUUACCAAGCCGACGAUCUGUAGCUGGUCUGAGAGGACGAUCAGCCACACUGGGACUGAGACACGGCCCAGACUCCUACGGGAGGCAGCAGUGGGGAAUUUUGGACAAUGGGCGAAAGCCUGAUCCAGCAAUGCCGCGUGCAGGAUGAAGGCCUUCGGGUUGUAAACUGCUUUUGUACGGAACGAAAAGCCCCGGGUUAAUACCCUGGGGUCAUGACGGUACCGUAAGAAUAAGCACCGGCUAACUACGUGCCAGCCGCCGCUGUAA
This 498-nucleotide ribosomal RNA is filed under the name uncultured bacterium. RNAcentral describes it as "partial 16S ribosomal RNA". It matches the Rfam family "Bacterial small subunit ribosomal RNA", at positions 30 to 523 of the family's 1533-position model. The record is from RNAcentral.